RNAcentral lists this signal recognition particle RNA (99 nucleotides) under Ruminococcus sp. Its description in RNAcentral is "signal recognition particle sRNA small type". It matches the Rfam family "Bacterial small signal recognition particle RNA". Rfam says of the family: The signal recognition particle (SRP) is a universally conserved ribonucleoprotein involved in the co-translational targeting of proteins to membranes. Archaeal SRP consists of a 7S RNA and homologues of the eukaryotic SRP19 and SRP54 proteins. Lineage: Bacteria; Bacillati; Bacillota; Clostridia; Eubacteriales; Oscillospiraceae. The record is from RNAcentral.
GUGCGGGCCCUGUGCAACGAGACGCUGUGAACCAUGUCAGGCGGGGAACCGAGCAGCAUUAAGCAGUUUGUUUAGUGUGCCGCAGUAAGCCUGCACACC